CCAAUAGCGUAUAUUAAAGUUGUUGCAGUUAAAAAGCUCGUAGUUGAACUUCGGGGUCUACCCAUUGGUCAGGCUUAAUUGUCUGCACUGGUGAGAUGGAUCUCUACCUUCUGAGGAACUCUCAUGCCAUUUAUUUGGUGUGAUUGGAAAUCAGGACUGUUACUUUGAAAAAAUUAGAGUGUUUAAAGCAGACUAUCGUCUGAAUACAUUAGCAUGGAAUAAUGAAAUAGGACGGACUGAUUCUAUUUCGUUGGUUUCUAGGAUCACCGUAAUGAUUAAUAGGGAUAGUUGGGGGCAUUAGUAUUCAAUUGUCAGAGGUGAAAUUCUUGGAUUUAUUGAAGACUAACUACUGCGAAAGCAUUUGCCAAGGAUGUUUUCAUUAAUCAAGAACGAAAGUUAGGGGAUCGAAGACGAUCAGAUACCGUCGUAGUCUUAACCAUAAACUAUGCCGACUAGGGAUCGGACGAAGUUAAUUUUAUAAUGACGCGUUCGGCACCUUACG
Molecule: ribosomal RNA, 502 nt
Filed under: uncultured Glomeromycotina
Lineage: Eukaryota; Fungi; Glomeromycota
Description: partial small subunit ribosomal RNA
Rfam family: Eukaryotic small subunit ribosomal RNA
Source: RNAcentral